UCUUACGGGAAGCAGCAGUGGGGAAUAUUGGACAAUGGGGGCAACCCUGAUCCAGCAAUGCCGCGUGUGUGAAGAAGGUUUUCGGAUUGUAAAGCACUUUCGGCGGGGACGAUGAUGACGGUACCCGCAGAAGAAGCCCCGGCUAACUUCGUGCCAGCAGCCGCGGUAAUACGAAGGGGGCUAGCGUUGCUCGGAAUGACUGGGCGUAAAGGGCGCGUAGGCGGUUGACACAGUCAGGUGUGAAAUUCCCGGGCUUAACCUGGGGGCUGCAUUUGAGACGUGUUGACUAGAGUGUGAGAGAGGGUUGUGGAAUUCUCAGUGUAGAGGUGAAAUUCGUAGAUAUUGGGAAGAACACCGGUGGCGAAGGCGGCAACCUGGCUCAUAACUGACGCUGAGGCGCGAAAGCGUGGGGAGCAAACAGGAUUUGAUACCCU
RNAcentral lists this ribosomal RNA (434 nucleotides) under uncultured bacterium. RNAcentral's name for it is "bacterial SSU rRNA". It matches the Rfam family "Bacterial small subunit ribosomal RNA", at positions 337 to 788 of the family's 1533-position model. The record is from RNAcentral.